CAAACAAGAGGUACUCAAUCUCGAAGUGCUUUAUAUAUAUAUUUUUGUAUAUAUAGAAUGAAAUGAAAUGUAUAAAAUGGAGCACUAAUCUUAAUACACUUGAUUAAUUAGGAAAAUGGCUGCCACUUUGUUUCUGGCUUUUCUUUGUUUUUCUCAAGUUAUCUACUUGGAAGCCAUCCCAAUUACAAGAUGCAAUAGUUUGGUGUACAAAACUCAAUAACAGGAGAACACACAAAUAAUGGAGAAUAUGGAGGUUGAGUGUAUGAAACUAGGUGAUGUUGUCAUUAGAAGAAUGGAUACUGAGGUCAAUGACUAUCCAGGUUCGGGUGCGAAUAAUCGCCACACUCCGGGCCACCCCUAGAGAUAUGAUGAAUGUAUUUAGAGGCGAAUUUGGGAUGUUAAUGUGUUUAAAAUUUAUAUAUAUAUAUACAUACUAUAUGUAUGCAUAUAUAGUUCGAGCUGAGAGCAAUGGUUUCACCAUAAUCCAAGCUCAGGCUAAAUAUGUUGAGUGUGUUAGUAAUAAGUAGUGAUAGAUAUGUGUGCUUUAGAUGUUUAAGAGUAUUGUGUUAUUGUGUAAAGCUAAUAGUUAAAUUGCUUCA
Molecule: long non-coding RNA, 599 nt
Organism: Solanum lycopersicum (tomato)
Lineage: Eukaryota; Viridiplantae; Streptophyta; Magnoliopsida; Solanales; Solanaceae
Source: RefSeq, a predicted model, not a curated record